Molecule: long non-coding RNA, 369 nt
Filed under: Homo sapiens (human)
Lineage: Eukaryota; Metazoa; Chordata; Mammalia; Primates; Hominidae
Description: non-protein coding lnc-IQCG-10:1
Source: RNAcentral
CAUCCCUGUCCCUGACCCAAUAUAUAUUAAAAAAAUAUUACUCCUCUCAGGUAAGUUCUUUUCUUCAGAAUGAGUAACACAGACUUCAUUAAAAUCUUUUUAGUCCUCCUGGGCUGCAAGGACAUGGCAGGAAUGACUAGUGUCCACUGUGACAAGGGUCUGUGACACUGUGACUGAGGCCCGUCUCCUCCUGCCACGACGACUCAUGUGCCCUGAGAGACAGGCUCCUCUCUGUCCAGUCAGCGUCCAAGGACACGGACAGUGGUAAGGCACCGAGCACAGACACUGUGAUGGACACAGCACGCAGGAUGGCGUAUGCUCCUGGAGGCAGAUCACAGCCAGCACAGACAGCAAUUCUGGGUGUCAAAG